AGCGAACGCUGGCGGCAGGCCUAACACAUGCAAGUCGAACGGAUCCUUCGGGAUUAGUGGCAGACGGGUGAGUAACACGUGGGAACGUGCCCUUUUGGUUCGGAACAACUCAGGGAAACUUGAGCUAAUACCGGAUGUGCCCUUCGGGGAAGAUUAUCGCCAUUAGAGCGGCCCGCGUCUGAUUAGCUAGUUGGUGAGGUAAAGGCUCACCAAGGCUUCGAUCAGUAGCUGGCCUGAGAGGAUGAUCAGCCACACUGGGACUGAGACACGGCCCAGACUCCUACGGGAGGCAGCAGUGGGGAAUCUUGCGCAAUGGGCGAAAGCCUGACGCAGCCAUGCCGCGUGAAUGAUGAAGGUCUUA
This 361-nucleotide ribosomal RNA is filed under the name uncultured bacterium. RNAcentral's name for it is "bacterial SSU rRNA". It matches the Rfam family "Bacterial small subunit ribosomal RNA", at positions 29 to 419 of the family's 1533-position model. The record is from RNAcentral.